UUUACGAGAGGCAGCAGUGGGGAAUUUUCGCGCAAUGGGAAAAAGCCUGACGGAGCAAUACCGCGUGAGGGAAGAAGGCCUGGUGGUUGUACACCGCUUUCCGGAGGGAAGAAAAUGACGGUACCUCCAGAAGAAGCAGCGGCCAACUACGUGCCAGCAGCCGCGGUAAU
This 170-nucleotide ribosomal RNA is filed under the name uncultured bacterium. Its description in RNAcentral is "partial 16S ribosomal RNA". It matches the Rfam family "Bacterial small subunit ribosomal RNA", at positions 338 to 524 of the family's 1533-position model. The record is from RNAcentral.